AUUGAACGCUGGCGGCAUGCCUUACACAUGCAAGUCGAACGGCAGCACGGGAGCAAUCCUGGUGGCGAGUGGCGAACGGGUGAGUAAUAUAUCGGAACGUGCCCGGUCGUGGGGGAUAACGUAGCGAAAGCUACGCUAAUACCGCAUACGAUCUACGGAUGAAAGCGGGGGGAUCGCAAGACCUCGCGCGAUUGGAGCGGCCGAUAUCAGAUUAGGUAGUUGGUGAGGUAAAGGCUCACCAAGCCGACGAUCUGUAGCUGGUCUGAGAGGACGACCAGCCACACUGGGACUGAGACACGGCCCAGACUCCUACGGGAGGCAGCAGUGGGGAAUAUUGGA
Molecule: ribosomal RNA, 339 nt
Filed under: uncultured bacterium
Lineage: Bacteria
Description: bacterial SSU rRNA
Rfam family: Bacterial small subunit ribosomal RNA
Source: RNAcentral